RNAcentral lists this microRNA precursor (84 nucleotides) under Cercocebus atys (sooty mangabey). RNAcentral's name for it is "mir-4524 microRNA precursor family". It matches the Rfam family "mir-4524 microRNA precursor family". RNAcentral also lists the same sequence under 6 other names. The record is from Rfam by way of RNAcentral. Lineage: Eukaryota; Metazoa; Chordata; Mammalia; Primates; Cercopithecidae.
AUUCUUUGGAAGGAUAGCAGCAUGAGCCUGUCUCAAAAUAAUUCUGCAAUGAGACAGGCUUAUGCUGCUAUCCUUCCAAAGAGG